GGCUUGGUUGGUCUAGGGUUAUGAUUCUCGCUUUGGGUGCGAGAGGUCCCGGGUUCAAAUCCCGGAUGAGCCC
RNAcentral lists this transfer RNA (73 nucleotides) under Danionella cerebrum. RNAcentral's name for it is "tRNA-Pro". It matches the Rfam family "tRNA". From Rfam's summary of the family: Transfer RNA (tRNA) molecules are approximately 80 nucleotides in length. The record is from RNAcentral. Lineage: Eukaryota; Metazoa; Chordata; Actinopteri; Cypriniformes; Danionidae.